GGGUCAGUAGGUUGGUCGUGCCACCGGUACGUACUGGUCUCACUGAUUCCUCCUUCCUGAAGAGCCGUAAUGCCAUUAAUUUGGUGUUGCGGGGAAACAGGACUGUUACUUUGAAGAAAUUAGAGUGUUUAAAGCAAGCUAACGCUUGAAUACAUUAGCAUGGAAUAAUGAAAUAGGACGAUCGAUCCUAUUUUGUUGGUUUCUAGGAUUGACGUA
RNAcentral lists this ribosomal RNA (216 nucleotides) under Glomeromycotina sp. RNAcentral describes it as "partial small subunit ribosomal RNA". The stretch from base 40 to 216 matches the Rfam family "Eukaryotic small subunit ribosomal RNA", at positions 686 to 864 of the family's 1831-position model. Lineage: Eukaryota; Fungi; Glomeromycota. The record is from RNAcentral.